UACGAAGGGUGCAAACGUUGCUCGGAAUUAUUGGGCGUAAAGCGCACGUAGGCGGCUUUGCAAGUCGGAUGUGAAAUCCCUCGGCUUAACCAAGGAAGUGCAUCCGAAACUGCAGAGCUUGAGUACUUAAGAGGAUCGCGGAAUUCCCGGUGUAGAGGUGAAAUUCGUAGAUAUCGGGAGGAACACCAGUGGCGAAGGCGGCGAUCUGGGAAGAUACUGACGCUGAGGAGCGAAAGCGUGGGGAGCGAACAGG
This 253-nucleotide ribosomal RNA is filed under the name uncultured bacterium. RNAcentral describes it as "partial 16S ribosomal RNA". It matches the Rfam family "Bacterial small subunit ribosomal RNA", at positions 524 to 776 of the family's 1533-position model. The record is from RNAcentral.